AACAGGGAUUGCCCUAGUACGGCGAGUGAAGCGGCAACAGCUCAAAUUUGAAAGCUAGCCUUCGGGUUCGCAUUGUAAUUUGUAGAGGAUGAUUUGGGGAAGCCGCCUGUCUAAGUUCCUUGGAACAGGACGUCAUAGAGGGUGAGAAUCCCGUAUGUGACAGGAAAUGGCACCCUAUGUAAAUCUCCUUCGACGAGUCGAGUUGUUUGGGAAUGCAGCUCUAAAUGGGAGGUAAAUUUCUUCUAAAGCUAAAUAUUGGCGAGAGACCGAUAGCGCACAAGUAGAGUGAUCGAAAGAUGAAAAGCACUUUGGAAAGAGAGUUAAAAAGCACGUGAAAUUGUUGAAAGGGAAGCGCUUGCAAUCAGACUUGUUUAAACUGUUCGGCCGGUCUUCUGACCGGUUUACUCAGUUUGGACAGGCCAGCAUCAGUUUCGGCGGCCGGAUAAAGGCUCUGGGAAUGUGGCCUCCACUUCGGUGGAGGUGUUAUAGCCCAGGGUGUAAUACGGCCAGCCGGGACUGAGGUCCGCGCUUCGGCUAGGAUGCUGGCGUAAUGGUUGUAAGCGACCCGUC
RNAcentral lists this ribosomal RNA (570 nucleotides) under Aureobasidium pullulans. Its description in RNAcentral is "LSU rRNA". It matches the Rfam family "Eukaryotic large subunit ribosomal RNA", at positions 67 to 653 of the family's 3401-position model. Lineage: Eukaryota; Fungi; Ascomycota; Dothideomycetes; Dothideales; Saccotheciaceae. The record is from RNAcentral.